This 324-nucleotide ribosomal RNA is filed under the name uncultured eukaryote. RNAcentral's name for it is "partial 18S ribosomal RNA". It matches the Rfam family "Eukaryotic small subunit ribosomal RNA", at positions 1470 to 1796 of the family's 1831-position model. The record is from RNAcentral.
CCCUUAGAUGUCCUGGGCUGCACGCGCGCUACACUGGUGUGUCCAGUAAGCACCUAACCUAUUCCGAGAGGAGCGGGUAACCUUAGCAAAGCACAUCGUGAUGGGGAUAGAUUAUUGCAAUUAUUAGUCUUGAACGAGGAAUUCCUAGUAAGCACAAGUCAUCAGCUUGUGUUGAUUACGUCCCUGCCCUUUGUACACACCGCCCGUCGCUCCUACCGAUUGAAUGUUCCGGUGAGCUCUUCGGACUGCGCGGUCUGCAGUUUCUGCGUUCCGUGCGGAAAGUUGUGCAAACCUUAACAUUUAGAGGAAGGAGAAGUCGUAACA